Molecule: long non-coding RNA, 488 nt
Organism: Cottoperca gobio
Lineage: Eukaryota; Metazoa; Chordata; Actinopteri; Perciformes; Bovichtidae
Exons: 3
Source: RefSeq, a predicted model, not a curated record
GUCCACUCUCCAAGAGAUAGGAGGAAAAGAGGACAGCAGCUCCGAGUCCUCUGUCUACCGCAGUUUGGCCUCAGAUGCGCCCAUGUCCAGCAGCAAGAAGUCAGGGAGACGUCUGCGUCAAAGUCCCGAGAUGCUGAUGACUGGGAGGCUCACACAUGCCCGACGGCCUGUUUGGAGAAUGACCAGUUGAUUGGAAAAACACCAAAGUGUCCCUCUAAACCCCAAAUAAUCCCACGACACGAUUUUUUUCUUAACCCUUAAUUAAUUUACAAAUAACAGUGUGAACAGUUAGACCGCACUGUGUACGCAGCACGAGCAACUAAAGCCCGGAAGUUGCAGAAGGCCACACAGAUUGCCUACAAGUCUCAGUUAGCAAACGUGACCUGAUGUGAGGUCACCUAAACUGCAGCACACACAGGCCGUCAUUGUGUCUCCGUGCCUCCACCCACUCUGAGCGGGCACGACUUCAGCACCGAGUGGAUUUGUUC